GACGAACGCUGGCGGCGUGCUUAACACAUGCAAGUCGAACGGAAAGGCCCUGCUUUUGUGGGGUGCUCGAGUGGCGAACGGGUGAGUAACACGUGAGUAACCUGUCCUUGACUUUGGGAUAACUUCAGGAAACUGGGGCUAAUACCGGAUAGGAGCUCCUGCUGCAUGGUGGGGGUUGGAAAGUUUCGGCGGUUGGGGGUGGACUCGCGGCUUAUCAGCUUGGUGGUGGGGUAGUGGCUUACCAAGGUUUUGACGGGUAGCCGGCCUGAGAGGGUGACCGGCCACAUUGGGACUGAGAUACGGCCCAGCCUCCUACGGGAGGCAGCAGUGGGGAAUAUUGCACAAUGGGCGGAAGCCUGAUGCAGCAACGCCGCGUGCGGGAUGACGGCCUUCGGGUUGUAAACCGCUUUCGCCUGUGACGAAGCGUGAGUGACGGUAAUGGGUAAAGAAGCACCGGCUAACUACGUG
Molecule: ribosomal RNA, 468 nt
Filed under: uncultured bacterium
Lineage: Bacteria
Description: partial 16S ribosomal RNA
Rfam family: Bacterial small subunit ribosomal RNA
Source: RNAcentral